RNAcentral lists this ribosomal RNA (253 nucleotides) under uncultured bacterium. RNAcentral's name for it is "partial 16S ribosomal RNA". It matches the Rfam family "Bacterial small subunit ribosomal RNA", at positions 524 to 776 of the family's 1533-position model. The record is from RNAcentral.
UACGUAGGGGGCAAGCGUUGUCCGGAUUUAUUGGGCGUAAAGAGCGUGUAGGCGGCCAUACAGGUCAGCUGUGAAAACUCGAGGCUCAACCUCGAGACGUCGGUUGAAACCGUUUGGCUAGAGUCCGGAAGAGGAGAGUGGAAUUCCCGGUGUAGCGGUGAAAUGCGCAGAUAUCGGGAAGAACACCCGUGGCGAAGGCGGCUCUCUGGGACGGUACUGACGCUGAGACGCGAAAGCGUGGGGAGCGACCAGG